UUAGUACGGCGAGUGAGCGGCAAAAGCUCAAAUUUGAAAUCUGGUACCUUCGGUGCCCGAGUUGUAAUUUGGAGAGGGCAACUUUGGGGCCGUUCCUUGUCUAUGUUCCUUGGAACAGGACGUCAUAGAGGGUGAGAAUCCCGUGUGGCGAGGAGUGCGGUUCUUUGUAAAGUGCCUUCGAAGAGUCGAGUUGUUUGGGAAUGCAGCUCUAAGUGGGUGGUAAAUUCCAUCUAAAGCUAAAUAUUGGCGAGAGACCGAUAGCGAACAAGUACAGUGAUGGAAAGAUGAAAAGAACUUUGAAAAGAGAGUGAAAAAGUACGUGAAAUUGUUGAAAGGGAAGGGCAUUUGAUCAGACAUGGUGUUUUGUGCCCUCUGCUCCUUGUGGGUAGGGGAAUCUCGCAUUUCACUGGGCCAGCAUCAGUUUUGGUGGCAGGAUAAAUCCAUAGGAAUGUAGCUUGCCUCGGUAAGUAUUAUAGCCUGUGGGAAUACUGCCAGCUGGGACUGAGGACUGCGACGUAAGUCAAGGAUGCUGGCAUAAUGGUUAUAUGCCGCCCGUCUUG
Molecule: ribosomal RNA, 560 nt
Filed under: Saccharomyces mikatae
Lineage: Eukaryota; Fungi; Ascomycota; Saccharomycetes; Saccharomycetales; Saccharomycetaceae
Description: partial large subunit ribosomal RNA
Rfam family: Eukaryotic large subunit ribosomal RNA
Source: RNAcentral